GUAACAAGGUUUCCGUAGGUGAACCUGCGGAAGGAUCAUUAUUGAAAUAAACCUGAUGAGUUGCUGCUGGUUCUCUAGGGAGCAUGUGCACACUUGUCGUCUUUAUAUUUCCACCUUGUGCACCUUUUGUAGACCUGGAUAUCUCUCUGAAUGCACACAAGCAUUUGGGUUUGAGGGGUUGACUUUUUGGUCUCCCUUUAUAUUUCCAGGCCUAUGUUUCUUUCAUAUACCCCACUUGUGUUAUAGAAUGUAAUAAAAUGGGCCUUUGUGCCUGUAAAGCUAUACAACUUUCAGCAACGGAUCUCUUGGCUCUCGCAUCGAUGAAGAACGCAGCGAAAUGCGAUAAGUAAUGUGAAUUGCAGAAUUCAGUGAAUCAUCGAAUCUUUGAACGCACCUUGCGCUCCUUGGUAUUCCGAGGAGCAUGCCUGUUUGAGUGUCAUUAAUAUAUCAACCUCUUCAACUUGUGUUGGAGUGUUGGAUGUGGGGGUUCUUUCUUUGCUGGCUUCACAGUCAGCUCCCCUGAAAUGCAUUAGCGGAACAACCUGUUCACUGUUCAUUGGCGUGAUAACUAUCUACGCUGCUUGUUGACAGUGAAGCAAGUUCAGCUUCUAACAGUCCAUUAAAUUGGACAAAUUUUUAUUAAUGUGACCUCAAAUCAGGUAGGACUACCCGCUGAACUUAAGCAUAUCA
Molecule: ribosomal RNA, 690 nt
Filed under: Cortinarius caperatus
Lineage: Eukaryota; Fungi; Basidiomycota; Agaricomycetes; Agaricales; Cortinariaceae
Description: eukaryotic LSU rRNA
Rfam family: 5.8S ribosomal RNA (bases 286-439)
Source: RNAcentral